CUACGGGGCGCUGCAGUGGGGAAUAUUGCACAAUGGGCGCAAGCCUGAUGCAGCCAUGCCGCGUGUAUGAAGAAGGCCUUCGGGUUGUAAAGUACUUUCAGCGGGGAGGAAGGGAGUAAAGUUAAUACCUUUGCUCAUUGACGUUACCCGCAGAAGAAGCACCGGCUAACUCCGUGCCAGCAGCCGCGGUAAUACGGAGGGUGCAAGCGUUAAUCGGAAUUACUGGGCGUAAAGCGCACGCAGGCGGUUUGUUAAGUCAGAUGUGAAAUCCCCGGGCUCAACCUGGGAACUGCAUCGGAUACUGGCAAGCUUGAGUCUCGUAGAGGGGGGUAGAAUUCCAGGUGUAGCGGUGAAAUGCGUAGAGAUCUGGAGGAAUACCGGUGGCGAAGGCGGCCCCCUGGACGAAGACUGACGCUCAGGUGCGAAAGCGUGGGGAGCAAACAGGAUUAGAUACCCCGUAGUC
Molecule: ribosomal RNA, 463 nt
Filed under: uncultured bacterium
Lineage: Bacteria
Description: partial 16S ribosomal RNA
Rfam family: Bacterial small subunit ribosomal RNA
Source: RNAcentral